UAGGUAUUAUAAAUAAUGCAAGUAUGGGGCAAGAUUAACUCAAGCUUUCAGACAUUUUCCCUUUUCAGCUUUCAUUGGUGUGGCCUAGCUGUUUUCUCAAUGAGAAAGCCUUCAUCUCUGCAAAGCGCACUUUUGCGCUUUGGGGUUCCCUUGUUGCUUGUUAUCACCUUCUGUUAUGCUACUUCUACUGCUGCAGCAACAACUCAAGUUUCAGGGAAUGAAGAGCUGCCAAAGACAAACCUAAAUGGGCAUGAUGAAGAAGCAAAAUUCGGAUUUUUUCAUCAUAAACCAAUAUUCAAGAAACAUAUUCCAAUUCCAGUAUAUAAACCUGUACCAAAGCCAUUUCCAGUGUAUAAACCUAUACCAAAGCCAGUUCCAGUUCCAGUGUACAAGCCUAUUCCAAAGCCAGUGUAUAAGCCUAUUCCAAAGCCAGUUCCAGUGUACAAGCCUAUACCAAAGCCAGUUCCAGUUCCAGUGUAUAAGCCUAUUCCAAAGCCAGUGUACAAGCCUAUUCCGAAGCCAGUGUAUAAGCCUAUUCCAAAGCCAGUUCCAGUGUACAAGCCUAUACCAAAGCCAGUUCCAGUUCCAGUGUAUAAGCCUAUUCCAAAGCCAGUGUACAAGCCUAUUCCGAAGCCAGUGUAUAAGCCUAUUCCAAAGCCAGUUCCAGUGUAUAAGCCUAUUCCAAAGCCAGUUCCAGUGUAUAAGCCUAUUCCAAAACCAGUGUACAAGCCUAUUCCAAAGCCAGUUCCCGUGUAUAAGCCUAUACCAAAGCCAGUUCCCAUUUAUAAGCCAAUUCCCAUUUUUAAGCCAAUACCGAAACCAGUUCCCAUUUAUAAGCCAAUUCCCAUUUUUAAGCCAGUACCGAAACCAGUUCCCAUUUAUAAGCCAAUUCCAAUUUUUAAGCCAGUACCAACACCAAUUCCUUUUUUUAAGCCUAUACCAAAGCCUGUUCCUAUUGUUAAACCUAUUCCUAUUCCAGUUUUUAAACCCAUACCUAAACCAUUUCCAAUUGUUAAACCUAUCCCUUAAGCCAAAGUCAUUUUUUAAGCCAGAGACUUUCUUCAGAAAACCUAUUCCUAAACUUCACCCAAAUCUGAUAAAGCACGGUCUUCUACAUUUUCCAAUUCACAAUACAAUUCCUACAAUUUCAACUCCAUAAGAUGAUUUGGCCGUGUCCUAUAAAAUUAUUGUACUUAGAACGUUAUCCCAUUCUAUUUCCAAUAUAGCUACGUUUGUUCUAAAACAUCAACGGGGUUUCUGUAGAAAUCCUAUCGUACUCUUGUGCAUUGUAUUAGAAUAUAUGCAGUUCAUUUGCCUCAAUAAUCUUCUCAGCAUUGCCGUUGUAAAUUGAUUUGUAUGUAUUAUUCCAAGAAUAGAACUAAUUCUCUAUUUUUGGUUUAAAUAAUAUUUGUAUUUCCUUUCAA
Glycine soja is the source of this 1424-nucleotide RNA transcript. It is a transcript of the gene named repetitive proline-rich cell wall protein 1-like, with no coding region annotated. The record is from RefSeq and is a predicted model, not a curated record. The transcript has 2 exons. NCBI's taxonomy places the organism in Eukaryota, Viridiplantae, Streptophyta, Magnoliopsida, Fabales, Fabaceae.